This 459-nucleotide ribosomal RNA is filed under the name uncultured bacterium. RNAcentral's name for it is "partial 16S ribosomal RNA". It matches the Rfam family "Bacterial small subunit ribosomal RNA", at positions 338 to 795 of the family's 1533-position model. The record is from RNAcentral.
CCUACGGGCGGCAGCAGUGAGGAAUAUUGGUCAAUGGUCGGGAGACUGAACCAGCCAAGCCGCGUGAGGGAUGAAGGUACAGAGUAUCGUAAACCUCUUUUGUCAGGGAACAAAGGCGGGGACGUGUCCCCGGAUGAGUGUACCUGAAGAAAAAGCAUCGGCUAACUCCGUGCCAGCAGCCGCGGUAAUACGGAGGAUGCGAGCGUUAUCCGGAUUUAUUGGGGUUAAAGGGUGCGCAGGCGGUCUGUUAAGUCAGCGGUCAAAGCCCGGGGCUCAACCCCGGCCCGCCGUUGAAACUGGCAGUCGCGAGUUGGAGAGAAGUAUGCGGAAUGCGCGGUGUAGCGGUGAAAUGCAUAGAUAUCGCGCAGAACUCCGAUUGCGAAGGCAGCAUGCCGGCUCCACACUGACGCUGAGGCACGAAAGCGUGGGUAUCGAACAGGAUUAGAUACCCUUGUAGUC